GAUGAAGAACGCAGCGAAAUGCGAUAAGUAAUGUGAAUUGCAGAAUUCAGUGAAUCAUCGAAUCUUUGAACGCACAUUGCGCCCGCCAGUAUUCUGGCGGGCAUGCCUGUUCGAGCGUCAUUUCAACCAUCAAGCCCCCGGCUUGUGUUGGGGACCUGCGGCUGCCGCAGGCCCUGAAAACCAGUGGCGGGCUCGCUAGUCACUCCGAGCGUAGUAAUACAUCUCGCUCAGGGCGUGCUGCGGGUACCGGCCGUUAAAAGCCUUAUUUACCCAAGGUUGACCACGGAUCAGGUAGGAAGACCCGCUGAACUUAAGCAUAUCAAUAAGCGGAGGA
Molecule: unclassified non-coding RNA, 334 nt
Filed under: soil metagenome
Description: partial contains 5.8S ribosomal RNA, internal transcribed spacer 2, and large subunit ribosomal RNA
Rfam family: 5.8S ribosomal RNA (bases 1-120)
Source: RNAcentral